AUUUUUAUUUUUAUAAUCUUUAUCUUUAUCGUCCGUCAUGGUUGUUUUGCAAAAAAGCCCCUCGGUUUACAGGAAAUCAACCCGCAGCCCUGUUUUAGUGGCACCCAAAGAAAACGUUUCACUUUUACAAACAAACCCUAUAGGCAUUUCAAUUCAGUCCGCAGUCCUUUCCUUCCUCUUAUCCACUCUGCGUCGGCGGCUACGCCCAUCCCGUCGUGCGCCGGCGGCCGCCGUGCCUCGCGCGGGCGGAUGGAGUGCGCUCGCCGGGAGGAUGGACGGCGCGGAGAGGCGCGUUCGCGCUCGAGCUCCUGUGCGCGCGCCUCGCGCCUCCUUGCACCGCUCCGGCGGCCACUCGCCACCCGCCGUCGCCGGCGACCACAAGCAGCAACCGUUGUGGCCGCUGCCGGUGUGGAGCGCAUCGAGGCCCGCCUCGCCCCCCUCCUCCGCGGAGACUCAGAAGCCAGCGGUCACCAAAACUUCUGCUCCCAAGGCCCCCUUUUCCAUCCGCCGUCACCGCGCUCCGAGCGUGAAAUCCUCCGCUUCAGGCUGCCGUCAGAGGAGCCGCCUCCGGAGAGGAACGACGGGGCUUGGAUGAGCAUGUGGAAGGUGCGGACCUGCACGAGGCGCUGACCAAGACGCGGUUGUUCUUAUCCGUUGCCUACUUCCUCAGCAACUCCCUCGCCAUCGAGGAAAACUAUGGUUCCCGGAUGAAAAAGACGCGCAUAAAAGUUGCAAAUUUUGAAUAGCAAUUCCUAUGUAUAUAUGAAUGUGCUAAUGGAGGGCUGUGUUGCAGGACUGAUUGGAGGCAACCAAAUCUUGGAGAAUGAUGGAAGAUAAUGGACUCCAGCUUUUAGGAAUGUUAUAUAAGGAUCCAAUUUCAAGCUUUGGACUGUUCCAUAAAUUUGCUGUUGAGAAUCAGGAGCCUCCUAGGUGAUCAUUGCAUAGGUCUACUGGAAAUUGGUGCCAGAGGAGCUCUCGAUGAAGUUCCUACGAGAACCAAAAUCAAUUCUAGAUGCAUCAGAUAUAUCAAUGGAGGAAGCAUGGUUCCCAGGUGCAGUGCUAACAUUGCUGAAUGUUGUCUGCUACCAUAGCCUUCCUAAAACAGGACAACACAAUUAUUAUCUGGAGGGACGAGGGAUCUGAUGAUUAUCCAGUGAACUGUAUGUCUUUGUAGGACCUUCGCACUCAACUGAUGUAUGCAUCUGUUAUCAAACUGAGAGUAGGAGGUAUGCAUAAACCUUUAAUUUUGGGAGACAUAACCACUCUUCGAAUCUUAGCCAGAUUCUUCCAUCUCUAGGAUUUAACUUUCUGUGAAAAGAAUUUCAUGAACACGCAAAGAUUGCCAACUAAACUUUGUACAAAAAAGGUAGACGUGAUAAAUCUAUUUAUCUCUCGCCGAACUACUCUGAAUUUUAUGGUACCUGGUGAAGAUUAAGAAAAUAGUUAUGCCCUGCUAUAUUUAGUGAUAAAUAAGAUACCAAAUGUGACUAAAUAGUUCUGCUUAAGCAUAUGUACCUGCACUCUUUUCAUAUGGUAUUGUCAAAACUUCGGCUGAGAAUAUAUUAAUAGUUGUUUCAAAAUGUUUCCUGUUCAGUCAAGACCUUUGGGACAUUACCAAACGCUAUUGGACAAGAAGAUUGAUGGUUUUCAGCAAGUAAGAUAAUAGUUCAAGUAUCGAAGGGACGUACGACUUUUGGUGCAUUGUUAGGAAAAUUGUAUUGAGUGUAUUUCACGUUUCUGCUCUGUCUCCAUUUUGCUAUGUCCUUGAAGUUCUUAUGUCACUUGCUAUUUUGAGUGCCCACUAUCAUCUGAACAUGAAGUAACAUGAGAAGUCAAAGUUUUGUGCAUGCCUUUUCUUUAAUAUGUUCAGAUUUAUAGCUCAUGAGAGUAAUGCUUAAGAUUGAUAUUUUAGAUACCAUUUUUGUAUUUAAAGUGCAGGCCGAAUUUCUUACUCCUAUAACUAAACCAAUAUGCUAGCUACUUUGUGUCAGGCGUACUUUUUGGUUUCAUUCAUGGUGCAGGUUAGCUGGUUAUUUACAAGUGUGUGGAGCAUCCAAAAUUCAAGUAAGAACACCAUGCUUCCUUGGUGUGUCCAUAAAUAUAUCUCCAUGCUGGAGCUGUCAGAUGAGUACGGAUCAAAUGAAGAAUGACAAAAACGCCCAGGACUAUUUCAAACUGUUUUAUUUUUCCUACAUUCAGCCAACCGGAGUAUCCUGCUCUCCCUUCUAUAGGUUCUACUCCCUCCGUUCCUAAAUAUAAGUCUUUAGAGAGAUUCCACUAUGGACCACAUACGCUGUAUGUG
Triticum dicoccoides is the source of this 2302-nucleotide RNA transcript. RefSeq lists it as uncharacterized. The transcript is spliced from 4 exons. Lineage: Eukaryota; Viridiplantae; Streptophyta; Magnoliopsida; Poales; Poaceae. The record is from RefSeq and is a predicted model, not a curated record.